This 285-nucleotide long non-coding RNA is filed under the name Hordeum vulgare. RNAcentral describes it as "long non-coding RNA (HVUL_LNC007918)". Lineage: Eukaryota; Viridiplantae; Streptophyta; Magnoliopsida; Poales; Poaceae. The record is from RNAcentral.
UGGAGAACAUUUUCUUCGCAAAAGGAAUUGACUGGAAGCACAAAACAAGAAUAUACACUGCCACAAAGUAAAGAAUUUACACAUUUGACCGAACUUUUUGCCUUAUAUAAUGGCAUAUUUGGUUUUUAGGCAUCAAAAUGCUGUUUCCACCAAGUAACGAAUGCAAAUACAAAAUACAGAGUGAACAUUUUGCUUCCAUAAUAGGAAAAUCAAGUUUCCAACACAAUAAACCACCCUUCGUUAUCCAUGGACAUUUUUCUGUAAGCAACCGAGGGCGCCUAUGGU